RNAcentral lists this ribosomal RNA (321 nucleotides) under Triticum aestivum (bread wheat). RNAcentral describes it as "partial small subunit ribosomal RNA". Lineage: Eukaryota; Viridiplantae; Streptophyta; Magnoliopsida; Poales; Poaceae. The record is from RNAcentral.
GCCCUCAACUAGAACAUCUCUGAACCCCUCACCAGGAGGAACUACGUUCUCUGGUGAGCUCAGGCCCGAUCCUAGAUCAUGGGUGCCGGCUUGUACGGCUACAUCGACAAAACUAUAGAUGAACCUCCCAAGACCAUCGUCAUGAAGGACAAGGAUGGCAAGGAUCGGGUGAUGCAAAACCCUGCCUAUGCCCCUUGGCUGGUCCAGGACCAGCAAAUCGUCGCCUACCUCCUCCGGAAUCUCUCCAAGGAGGUCCUCGUUCAGGUGGCCUCACUAGAGACGUCGCAUGCGAUAUGGAUGGCGCUGUCCACCAUGUUCGCU